UAUGGGACAAUGGGCGAAAGCCUGAUCAAGCCAUGCCGCGUGUGUGAAGAAGGACUACGGAUUGUAAAGCACUGUAAGUCGGGAGUCAGGGCAGUAAGUUAAUACCUUUCUGUGUUGACGCUACCUACAGACUAAGCGCCGUCGAACUUCGUACCAGCAGCCGCGGUAAUACGAAGGGUGCAAGCGUUAAUCGGAAUUACUGGGCGUAAAGCGCGCGUAGGUGGUUUGUUAAGUUGGAAGUGAAAGCCCCGGGCUCAACCUGGGAACUGCUUUCAAAACUGGCAAGCUAGAGUGUGGCAGAGGGUGGUGGAAUUUCCUGUGUAGCGGUGAAAUGCGUAGAUAUAGGAAGGAACACCAGUGGCGAAGGCGACUACCUGGACGAUUACUGACGCUCAUGCACGAAAGCUAGGGGAGCAAAC
This 419-nucleotide ribosomal RNA is filed under the name uncultured bacterium. RNAcentral describes it as "partial 16S ribosomal RNA". It matches the Rfam family "Bacterial small subunit ribosomal RNA", at positions 362 to 773 of the family's 1533-position model. The record is from RNAcentral.